RNAcentral lists this ribosomal RNA (434 nucleotides) under uncultured bacterium. Its description in RNAcentral is "partial 16S ribosomal RNA". It matches the Rfam family "Bacterial small subunit ribosomal RNA", at positions 29 to 507 of the family's 1533-position model. The record is from RNAcentral.
AGCGAACGCUGGCGGCAGGCCUAACACAUGCAAGUCGAACGAACCUUUCGGGGUUAGUGGCGGACGGGUGAGUAACAUGUGGGAACGUGCCUUUAGGUUCGGAAUAACUCAGGGAAACUUGUGCUAAUACCGAAUGUGCCCUUCGGGGGAAAGAUUUAUCGCCUUUAGAGCGGCCCGCGUCUGAUUAGCUAGUUGGUUGAGGUAAUGGCUCACCAAGGCUACGAUCAGUAGCUGGUCUGAGAGGAUGAACAGCCACAUUGGGACUGAGACACGGCCCAAACUCCUACGGGAGGCAGCAGUGGGGAAUCUUGCGCAAUGGGCGAAAGCCUGACGCAGCCAUGCCGCGUGAAUGAUGAAGGUCUUAGGAUUGUAAAAUUCUUUCACCGGGGACGAUAAUGACGGUACCCGGAGAAGAAGCCCCGGCUAACUUCGUG